This 325-nucleotide ribosomal RNA is filed under the name uncultured bacterium. RNAcentral describes it as "bacterial SSU rRNA". It matches the Rfam family "Bacterial small subunit ribosomal RNA", at positions 29 to 376 of the family's 1533-position model. The record is from RNAcentral.
AGCGAACGCUGGCGGCAGGCUUAACACAUGCAAGUCGAGCGGGCGUAGCAAUACGUCAGCGGCAGACGGGUGAGUAACGCGUGGGAACGUACCUUUUGGUUCGGGAUAACCCAGGGAAACUUGGGCUAAUACCGGAUAAGCCCUUACGGGGAAAGAUUUAUCGCCGAAAGAUCGGCCCGCGUCUGAUUAGCUAGUUGGUGAGGUAACGGCUCACCAAGGCGACGAUCAGUAGCUGGUCUGAGAGGAUGAUCAGCCACAUUGGGACUGAGACACGGCCCAAACCUACCUACGGGAGGCAGCAGUGGGGAAGUAUUGGACAAUGGGC